Molecule: long non-coding RNA, 1052 nt
Filed under: Oryctolagus cuniculus (rabbit)
Lineage: Eukaryota; Metazoa; Chordata; Mammalia; Lagomorpha; Leporidae
Description: lncRNA (ENSOCUG00000036963.1)
Source: RNAcentral
CUGAGGCCCGGCCCCGGCCCUGCGGCCUCCAGUCCCGGCCACCGGGAGGCGGGCCGCGCCGCCCGCACGCUCAGCGAGCCGAGUCACCGACCCGGCGGCGGCCCUGGGUGGAGCUGGAAGGAGCCAGGCCUGCGGUGGAUGCGUUUCUAUUUUUAACCCGAUUGUCCUCCCUCAGCCUCCCUCCUUCCGAUUUUCUCACUCGAGCCCGCUUUUCGCCGUCGGAGUUCUCACGCUUUUGUCUUGGUUCCCGGUCAGGCGGUUCCCCCCUCCCCCAGAGGCAUUAGUUAGAAGGAUUCGUUUCCAGAAAAGGAACUGCCUCGUGGCUUCUGGGACUUCUGUUUGUGAAGCCUCCCCGCUCCUUCCACCCCACCCCCCACCCCGUCUUUUCGGUUCCAAAGUGCAGGCGGAGCUGAGCGCGGCCGCCGGCGGGAAGGAGCGGGCCAGGCGGCGCCCGCUGUCGCGCUCGCCCAAGGUCACGGGUGGCUGUGCCGCCAGGAAGCCCUCGGCUGACUGCUGCCAGCCCUGGGCCCGGCGUCGCUGUUCUGAACAAACUGUCUCGGCCUGCCUGUAAAAUCCCUGGAAAUUGACUAUUCCAGCAAGGCGACGUGAACUGGGAAAGCACCAAAUGUUCUGCUCAUGAGGUGCAGCGAGAGGACAAACAAGCUAGACCUGAAGCCGAGAUCAGCUGGGAGAUGAAGCAGGAGGAAGUUCAAGGGGGGAGAGAUGGGUGGAAGGGUGGUCCACAUCAACUUUGUGCAGCUUUCCAAACAAGAUCAGAGAAUGAAGGAGAUUGCUUUAUUAGCUGCUGCUUAUGGACUCAUAAAGACCACUUUGUGAGGCUCCAUUGUUCCACCUCCACAGUUUACCACAGGACCUGGAGAAAGAAACAAGAGAUCAAGAAAAAGAGAGGAAUGAUUAUUCAUGUAUUUUCAACGUGGAUAUGUGAGGCACUUCAAAAAGUUUGUCCAGAAAUGGAAUUAAAGCAUGAGUUAAUUUUUCUGCAAAUACAUUUUGAAAAUCACACAUCUUUUUAUAAUACUCAUUUUCCAUGA